This 429-nucleotide ribosomal RNA is filed under the name Chloroflexota bacterium. RNAcentral's name for it is "Chloroflexi bacterium partial 16S ribosomal RNA". It matches the Rfam family "Bacterial small subunit ribosomal RNA", at positions 355 to 776 of the family's 1533-position model. Lineage: Bacteria; Bacillati; Chloroflexota. The record is from RNAcentral.
UGGGGAAUAUUGCACAAUGGGCGCAAGCCUGAUGCAGCCAUGCCGCGUGUAUGAAGAAGGCCUUCGGGUUGUAAAGUACUUUCAGUCGGGAGGAAGGUGGUAAGGUUAAUAACCUUGGCAAUUGACGUUACCGACAGAAGAAGCACCGGCUAACUCCGUUCCAGCAGCCGCGGUAAUACGGAGGGUGCAAGCGUUAAUCGGAAUUACUGGGCGUAAAGCGCACGCAGGCGGUUGAUUGAGUCAGAUGUGAAAUCCCCGGGCUUAACCCGGGAAUUGCAUCUGAUACUGGUCAGCUAGAGUCUUGUAGAGGGGGGUAGAAUUCCAUGUGUAGCGGUGAAAUGCGUAGAGAUGUGGAGGAAUACCGGUGGCGAAGGCGGCCCCCUGGACAAAGACUGACGCUCAGGUGCGAAAGCGUGGGGAGCAAACAGG